UACAGAGGGUGCGAGCGUUAAUCGGAAUUACUGGGCGUAAAGCGCGCGUAGGCGGCUUUGCAAGUCGGAUGUGAAAUCCCCAGGCUUAACCUGGGAACUGCAUUCGAGACUGCAUUGCUAGAGUAUGGGAGAGGGAAGUGGAAUUUCCGGUGUAGCGGUGAAAUGCGUAGAUAUCGGAAGGAACAUCAGUGGCGAAGGCGGGUCUCUGGGCAGUAACUGACGCUGAGGAGCGAAAGCGUGGGGAGCGAACAGG
RNAcentral lists this ribosomal RNA (253 nucleotides) under uncultured bacterium. RNAcentral's name for it is "partial 16S ribosomal RNA". It matches the Rfam family "Bacterial small subunit ribosomal RNA", at positions 524 to 776 of the family's 1533-position model. The record is from RNAcentral.